Molecule: ribosomal RNA, 253 nt
Filed under: uncultured bacterium
Lineage: Bacteria
Description: partial 16S ribosomal RNA
Rfam family: Bacterial small subunit ribosomal RNA
Source: RNAcentral
UACGGAGGGGGCUAGCGUUGUUCGGAAUUAUUGGGCGUAAAGCGCACGUAGGCGGUUCGUUAAGUCGGAUGUGAAAGCCCUCGGCUCAACUGAGGAAGUGCACCCGAAACUGGCGAGCUUGAGUACGAAAGAGGAUCGCGGAAUUCCCGGUGUAGAGGUGAAAUUCGUAGAUAUCGGGAGGAACACCGGUGGCGAAGGCGGCGAUCUGGGUCGAUACUGACGCUGAGGUGCGAAAGCGUGGGGAGCGAACAGG